RNAcentral lists this ribosomal RNA (910 nucleotides) under Colletotrichum phormii. Its description in RNAcentral is "eukaryotic LSU rRNA". It matches the Rfam family "Eukaryotic large subunit ribosomal RNA", at positions 1 to 940 of the family's 3401-position model. The record is from RNAcentral. Lineage: Eukaryota; Fungi; Ascomycota; Sordariomycetes; Glomerellales; Glomerellaceae.
GUUGACCUCGGAUCAGGUAGGACUACCCGCUGAACUUAAGCAUAUCAAUAAGCGGAGGAAAAGAAACCAACAGGGAUUGCCCCAGUAACGGCGAGUGAAGCGGCAACAGCUCAAAUUUGAAAUCUGGCCCCAGGCCCGAGUUGUAAUUUGCAGAGGAUGCUUUUGGCGCGGUGCCUUCCGAGUUCCCUGGAACGGGACGCCAUAGAGGGUGAGAGCCCCGUACGGUUGGACACCAAGCCUUUGUAAAGCUCCUUCGACGAGUCGAGUAGUUUGGGAAUGCUGCUCUAAAUGGGAGGUACAUUUCUUCUAAAGCUAAAUAUUGGCCAGAGACCGAUAGCGCACAAGUAGAGUGAUCGAAAGAUGAAAAGCACUUUGAAAAGAGGGUUAAACAGCACGUGAAAUUGUUAAAAGGGAAGCGCUUGUGACCAGACUUGCGUCCGGUGAAUCACCCAGCUCUCGCGGCUGGGGCACUUCGCCGGCACAGGCCAGCAUCAGCUUGCCGUCGGGGACAAAAGCUUCAGGAACGUGGCUCCUCUCGGGGAGUGUUAUAGCCUGUUGCACAAUACCCUUCGGCGGGCUGAGGUACGCGCUCCGCAAGGAUGCUGGCGUAAUGGUCAUCAGCGACCCGUCUUGAAACACGGACCAAGGAGUCAACCUUAUGUGCGAGUGUUUGGGUGUUAAACCCCUACGCGUAAUGAAAGUGAACGCAGGUGAGAGCUUCGGCGCAUCAUCGACCGAUCCUGAUGUUCUCGGAUGGAUUUGAGUAAGAGCAUAUAGGGUUGGACCCGAAAGAAGGUGAACUAUGCGUGUGUAGGGUGAAGCCAGAGGAAACUCUGGUGGAGGCUCGCAGCGGUUCUGACGUGCAAAUCGAUCGUCAAACAUGCGCAUGGGGGCGAAAGACUAAUCGAAC